AUACGUAGGGUGCGAGCGUUAAGCGGAAUUACUGGGCGUAAAGCGUGCGCAGGCGGCUUUGCAAGACAGAUGUGAAAUCCCCGGGCUCAACCUGGGAACUGCAUUUGUGACUGCAAGGCUAGAGUACGGUAGAGGGGGAUGGAAUUCCGCGUGUAGCAGUGAAAUGCGUAGAUAUGCGGAGGAACACCAAUGGCGAAGGCAAUCCCCUGGACCUGUACUGACGCUCAUGCACGAAAGCGUGGGGAGCAAACAGGAUUAGAAACCCUAGUAGUCC
This 274-nucleotide ribosomal RNA is filed under the name uncultured bacterium. RNAcentral's name for it is "partial 16S ribosomal RNA". It matches the Rfam family "Bacterial small subunit ribosomal RNA", at positions 523 to 796 of the family's 1533-position model. The record is from RNAcentral.